RNAcentral lists this long non-coding RNA (564 nucleotides) under Gossypium raimondii (Peruvian cotton). RNAcentral's name for it is "long non-coding RNA (GRAI_LNC009325)". Lineage: Eukaryota; Viridiplantae; Streptophyta; Magnoliopsida; Malvales; Malvaceae. The record is from RNAcentral.
GGAGCUACUACCUUUGGGUAAGGUGUGUUGUGUAUCGAACUUCGAGGGAAAAGUAGCGAUGCAAAAACAGUCGGGACGAGUAAAUGUUGCGACUAAGGUACAUUCCGAACACUUUGUUAGUGUUUUGAAUUCUGACUUGUUGGCUUGGCAAAAUCGUAAGGACCCUUUCAAAGUUCAUAAGCAAGGAGGUCAUGGAACUGUGGGCAAUUCGAAGCCAAGUGGUGAAAACCAAGAGGAUUCCAAUCGAAGCAAGUCAAAAUUGGGGCAAGUUAAAGUUGAGACUUCUUGCCAAUGAGAUGUACCAAUGAGUGCAAUGGUUUAAGAUAAGAGGCGACAAAAGCCGAAGCAAAGGUUCCGAAGGAAAAGAUGACAUGAUAGCAAAACUAGUCGGGAAAAAGCCAAGGCAAUGUGAGAAAGUUCCAAAGAGAAUCAAGUCAAUACCAUUCUGAAGGUGCAACGAGGGCAUUGCGAGAAUGGGUGGGGGCGAAUGUCACGGGCCGCAGUCCAAAGCCCGUGACCAUCGCACAAGAUGCACCCCAUGAAGGUCUAUCAAUUAGAUGGAGA